This is an RNA transcript of Mya arenaria, 871 nucleotides long. It is a transcript of the gene named ATP-dependent DNA helicase PIF1-like, with no coding region annotated. NCBI's taxonomy places the organism in Eukaryota, Metazoa, Mollusca, Bivalvia, Myida, Myidae. The record is from RefSeq and is a predicted model, not a curated record. The transcript has 3 exons.
UGGAAGAUCAUCACAUGAGAGUAAACAAUUUAUUUUGAAAUUAAGCAGGCCACUAACAGUACAAGAGGGGUCAAGAAGUAUAAAACUCUUUUCAAGAAAUGAUUAUGUAGAUGAUUACAAUAGGAAAUGUCUUAAGCAAUUUUCCCGGAACAAUAUUUGAGUUUCAGUCAACUGACACUGGAAGAGCAAAAGAUCUUGCCAAACUUACUGCUCCUUGGCUAUUAUGGAUAAAGAAAAGCUGCCCAGUUAUACUUCUGAGGAAUUUGUCUAAGACUCUUGUCAAUGGACUGAGUGGUUACGUUUGUGAAGUAGAUGAUUCUGAACCAGUUAUAAAUUUUCCAUCAGUGAACCUGGUAACAAGGAUAUCGAAGGUCAAAUUUACAGUUUAUAGCCAGGAGCUGAAUAAAGACAUAGCUGUAAGGGAGCAAUAUCCUUUGAAGCUUGGAUUUGGCAUCACCAUCCGUAAGGCACAAGGGAUGACAUUGAAUAAAGACAUAGCUGUAAGGGAGCAACAUACUCUGAAGCUUGGAUUUGGCAUCACCAUCCGUAAGGCACAAGGGAUGACAUUGACCAGGUUUGGCAUCACCAUCCAUAAGGCACAAGGAAUGACAUUGACCAGGUUUGGCAUCACCAUCCAUAAGGCACAAGGGAUGACAUUGACCAGGUUUGGCAUCACCAUCCAUUAGGCACAAGGGAUGACAUUGACCAGGUUUGCAUCACUAUCCGUAAGGCACAAGGGAUGACAUUGACCAGGUGGAGGUUGACUGCAGGGAUUUAUUCAAUGCCGGUCAGCUCGCUGUGGCGAUGUCUAGGGCAACUGCAUCUUCUGGUCUCCGAGUGAUGAACUUCCAACCCCGAUAUAUCAUUCCCC